This 245-nucleotide ribosomal RNA is filed under the name uncultured Eubacteriales bacterium. RNAcentral's name for it is "uncultured Clostridiales bacterium partial 16S ribosomal RNA". It matches the Rfam family "Bacterial small subunit ribosomal RNA", at positions 796 to 1041 of the family's 1533-position model. Lineage: Bacteria; Bacillati; Bacillota; Clostridia; Eubacteriales. The record is from RNAcentral.
CACGCCGUAAACGAUGGAUACUAGGUGUAGGGGGUAUCGACCCCCCCUGUGCCGGAGUUAACACAAUAAGUAUCCCACCUGGGGAGUACGGCCGCAAGGCUGAAACUCAAAGGAAUUGACGGGGGCCCGCACAAGCAGUGGAGUAUGUGGUUUAAUUCGACGCAACGCGAAGAACCUUACCAGGAUUUGACAUCCUCUGACGACGUUAGAGAUAACGUUUCCCUUCGGGGCAGAGAGACAGGUGG